ACGGGUGAGUAAUGCAUAGCUUACCUGCCCCAUAGACGGGAAUAGCCACUGGAAACGGUGAUUAAUACCCGAUACUCCCUACGGGGGAAAUGCUUUUGCGCUAUGGGAUGGGGCUAUGUCCUAUCAGCUUGUUGGUGAGGUAAAAGCUCACCAAGGCUAUGACGGGUAGCUGGUCUGAGAGGAUGAUCAGCCACACUGGAACUGAGACACGGUCCAGACUCCUACGGGAGGCAGCAGUGGGGAAUAUUGCGCAAUGGGGGCAACCCUGACGCAGCAACGCCGCGUGGAGGAUGACGCAUUUCGGUGUGUAAACUCCUUUUAACAAGGAAGAUAAUGACGGUACUUGUUGAAUAAGCACCGGCUAACUCCGUGCCAGCAGCCGCGGUAAUACGGAGGGUGCAAGCGUUACUCGGAAUCACUGGGCGUAAAGCGCAUGUAGGCGGACUUACAAGUCAGGUGUGAAAUCCUAUGGCUCAACCAUAGAACAGCACUUGAAACUGUAAGUCUAGAGUUCGGGAGAGGCAGAUGGAAUUUCCGGUGUAGGGGUAAAAUCCGUAGAGAUCGGAAGGAAUACCUAUUGCGAAGGCGAUCUGCUGGAACGCAACUGACGCUCAGAUGCGAAAGCGUGGGUAGCAAACAGGAUUAGAUACCCUGGUAGUCCACGCCCUAAACGAUGGAUGCUAGUUGUUGGGGAGCCAGUCUCUUCAGUAAUGCAGCUAACGCAUUAAGCAUCCCGCCUGGGGAGUACGGUCGCAAGAUUAAAACUCAAAGGAAUAGACGGGGACCCGCACAAGCGGUGGAGCAUGUGGUUUAAUUUGAAGAUACGCGAAGAACCUUACCUGGGCUUGACAUCGUAAGAACUUUGUAGAGAUACAUUGGUGCUAGCUUGCUAGAACUUAGUGACAGGUGCUGCACGGCUGUCGUCAGCUCGUGUCGUGAGAUGUUGGGUUAAGUCCCGCAACGAGCGCAACCCCCGUCGUUAGUUGCUAACGGUUUGGCCGAGAACUCUAAGGAGACUGCCUUCGUAAGGAGGAGGAAGGUGGGGACGACGUCAAGUCAUCAUGGCCCUUAUGCCCAGGGCAACACACGUGCUACAAUGGGGUGUUCAGAGAGAAGCAAUACUGCGAAGUGGAGCAAAUCUCUAAAGCAUCUCU
RNAcentral lists this ribosomal RNA (1154 nucleotides) under uncultured organism. RNAcentral describes it as "bacterial SSU rRNA". It matches the Rfam family "Bacterial small subunit ribosomal RNA", at positions 102 to 1288 of the family's 1533-position model. The record is from RNAcentral.